CGACCAUCCUUCCGCGUCCCCAGACGUCCAGCUUGGCUCUCGCCAGCAUGUGUGACUUUUCAGCAACGAAGCCCCCUGCCAGCCGGCUUCCUGCUACAAUAACAGUAAGGCACUUUCCCCAGAAAUUUCACGACUUUUAAGGCGUUCAACAUUGGCGGUUCUGCUGUACCCCACCAUGACAGAAGGCUACAGCAUGCGCAAGAGAAGUGUGACCUGUGGGAUAUUCCUGUAUCGACACAAAGUCAGCAUGAAGAAGUGAAUGUGAGAGCGUUGCUGACCAUGUUGUGUUUUCUUCCGGUGUCAUCGAGGCCACCGUGCUGCAGUACAAGGCGGGGGUGGGGGGGGGCUCGAGGGCUCAAGCGCAGGGCCCUCCGGGACCCUCGGACACCCUCGCUUGUGAGAGUCAAGCGCAGUGUCAGCACGGCGGCCGACAUGAAUCACACGGCUGCCUCCGACAGCGUUAUCUUGUCUCGGUGCGGGCGCGAGAAUAUAUAACCCAUCAACUGCGCAACAACCUUUUGCGCCUCCACUGACUAGACAUUUUACAUCAAAUUGUUUUGAUGAAACAUGGAACAUGGCCGCGUACGACUCGAACUGGGUCGACACCAAAUUGGAUCGACGGACGCCUGCUCCCCUCGCGGUCGAGACAGGCGCUUGAUGAAAGAUAGCCUCCUCUGGCAUUAAUCAAAGAGAUGAAGCCAUUUGAUCCCACUCUCAAUUAGAUUAGAUUAUAUAAAUUGAAGAAUUUGUUCAAAAUGUGAUAUCAAUUCUCAACAGGUCAUUCGUUUUGAUCUCUUCCUCGCUGCUUGUCGGAUUGAAUAUGAAUGUCUAUGACAGGA
Phyllopteryx taeniolatus (common seadragon) is the source of this 839-nucleotide long non-coding RNA. RefSeq lists it as uncharacterized. The record is from RefSeq and is a predicted model, not a curated record. NCBI's taxonomy places the organism in Eukaryota, Metazoa, Chordata, Actinopteri, Syngnathiformes, Syngnathidae. The transcript has 3 exons.